Molecule: ribosomal RNA, 305 nt
Filed under: uncultured bacterium
Lineage: Bacteria
Description: bacterial SSU rRNA
Rfam family: Bacterial small subunit ribosomal RNA
Source: RNAcentral
AGUCCCUACGGGAGGCAGCAGUGGGGAAUAUUGCGCAAUGGGCGAAGGCCUGACGCAGCGACGCCGCGUGAGGGAUGAAGGUCGUCGGAUCGUAAACUUCUGUCAGCAGGGAAGGACGGUCACUGUGCUAAUCAGCAGUGAAUUGACGGUACCUGCAAAGGAAGCAUCGGCUAAUUCCGUGCCAGCAGCCGCGGUAAUACGGAGGGUGCGAGCGUUAAUCGGAAUUACUGGGCGUAAAGCGCUCGUAGGCGGUAUGUCAAGUCAAGGGUGAAAUCCCCGCGCUCAACGUGGGAACUGCCUUUGAA